CAGCUUCUUGGUACAGAUGCAGCCUUUCGGGAGCUGUGCCAGAAUGUAGCGAUAAAUACCAGCUCGAGGGGAAAUACAUUUCAUGAUAGAAUUAGGAGAGCAGCCAUCUGAGACGUCCACAGAAACCAGCCCCCUUCCAAGAAGUGCUGGGAUUGGAGAUACGUACCUGCCUUUGUGUUAUUUUGCUGACCUGCUUGCACUCUAACUGGUAAGCUAUUCCCCC
Molecule: long non-coding RNA, 223 nt
Filed under: Rattus norvegicus (Norway rat)
Lineage: Eukaryota; Metazoa; Chordata; Mammalia; Rodentia; Muridae
Description: long non-coding RNA NONRATT031588
Source: RNAcentral